Alosa alosa (allis shad) is the source of this 222-nucleotide long non-coding RNA. RefSeq lists it as uncharacterized. The record is from RefSeq and is a predicted model, not a curated record. The transcript has 3 exons. NCBI's taxonomy places the organism in Eukaryota, Metazoa, Chordata, Actinopteri, Clupeiformes, Clupeidae.
UGCCAGAUGAGUGCCCAAUAGGUGCCCAAUAGAUGCCCAAUAGAUGCCCAAUAGAUGCCAGAUGAGUGCCCAAUAGGUGCCCAAUAGAUGCCCAAUAGAUGCCAGAUGAGUGCCCAAUAGAUGCCAGAUGAGUGCCCAAUAGAUGCCCAAUAGGUGCCCAAUAGGUGCCAGAUGAGUGCCCAAUAGAUGCCCAAUAGAUGCCAGAUGAGUGCCCAAUAGAUG